Molecule: ribosomal RNA, 604 nt
Filed under: Halomonas sp. TA18
Lineage: Bacteria; Pseudomonadati; Pseudomonadota; Gammaproteobacteria; Oceanospirillales; Halomonadaceae
Description: bacterial SSU rRNA
Rfam family: Bacterial small subunit ribosomal RNA
Source: RNAcentral
CAUACGUCCUACGGGAGAAAGGGGGCUUCGGCUCCCGCUAUCGGAUGAGCCUAUGCCGGAUUAGCUGGUUGGUGAGGUAAUGGCUCACCAAGGCGACGAUCCGUAGCUGGUCUGAGAGGAUGAUCAGCCACAUCGGGACUGAGACACGGCCCGAACUCCUACGGGAGGCAGCAGUGGGGAAUAUUGGACUAUGGGGGCNGACCNCUGAUCCAGCCAUGCCGCGUGUGUGAAGAAGGCCCUCGGGUUGUAAAGCACUUUCAGUGAGGAAGAACGCCUGUCGGUUAAUACCCGGCAGGAAAGACAUCACUCACAGAAGAAGCACCGGCUAACUCCGUGCCAGCAGCCGCGGUAAUACGGAGGGUGCAAGCGUUAAUCGGAAUUACUGGGCGUAAAGCGCGCGUAGGUGGCUUGAUAAGCCGGUUGUGAAAGCCCCGGGCUCAACCUGGGAACGGCAUCCGGAACUGUCAAGCUAGAGUGCAGGAGAGGAAGGUAGAAUUCCCGGUGUAGCGGUGAAAUGCGUAGAGAUCGGGAGGAAUACCAGUGGCGAAGGCGGCCUUCUGGACUGACACUGACACUGAGGUGCGAAAGCGUGGGUAGCAAACAG